This 413-nucleotide long non-coding RNA is filed under the name Brachypodium distachyon (stiff brome). RNAcentral's name for it is "long non-coding RNA (BDIS_LNC003797)". The record is from RNAcentral. Lineage: Eukaryota; Viridiplantae; Streptophyta; Magnoliopsida; Poales; Poaceae.
AGAGCAUCCUUGCUAUUUGGGCCUGCCAGGUCGUGCUCAUGGGUGCCGUUGAGGGGUACCGUGUUGCUGGCGGCCCACUUGGGGAGAUCGUCGACCCGCUUUACCCGGGAGGCAGCUUCGACCCACUGGGCCUUGCUGAAGACCCAGAAGCGUUCGCUGAGCUCAAGGUGAAAGAGAUCAAGAAUGGCCGGCUCGCCAUGUUCUCCAUGUUCGGGUUCUUCGUCCAGGCCAUUGUCACCGGCAAGGGCCCCCUCGAGAACCUUGCCGACCACCUUGCCGACCCUGUUAACAACAAUGCGUGGGCCUUCGCCACCAACUUCGUCCCCGGCAAGUAAGCGUUAGAAGAUCGAGUUGUGAGGAGAGUAAUAUAUGUAUAGACAGACAUACUCUCAGGAUGAUGUAUGAUUAAGACG